RNAcentral lists this transfer RNA (72 nucleotides) under Camelus bactrianus (Bactrian camel). It matches the Rfam family "tRNA". Rfam says of the family: Transfer RNA (tRNA) molecules are approximately 80 nucleotides in length. RNAcentral also lists the same sequence under 3 other names. The record is from Rfam by way of RNAcentral. Lineage: Eukaryota; Metazoa; Chordata; Mammalia; Artiodactyla; Camelidae.
GGCAAUGUGGUAUAGUGGUUAGUACAGGCUCUUGGAAUCAGACAGGCCUGGGUCCACAUCCCAGCACUGCCC